GGCUAUUUUGCUGUUUUAGUUGCUGUGAAAUCAUUAUUGGGCUGUCAUUUCGAUAAGAUAAUUCGAUAUCCAGAACAUCCGGAUGAUUUGAUUCUGACUGGUAGAUCUUGGUCACAUGUCCAAACAUCAUUGGAUCGUAGCUGUUCACGUGGAUAAUGGUGAGAUGGCAUGAUCUAGGAACAUGUGCAUCGAACCGUCCAACC
This 203-nucleotide long non-coding RNA is filed under the name Elaeis guineensis (African oil palm). Its description in RNAcentral is "long non-coding RNA (EGUI_LNC029733)". The record is from RNAcentral. Lineage: Eukaryota; Viridiplantae; Streptophyta; Magnoliopsida; Arecales; Arecaceae.